Molecule: ribosomal RNA, 254 nt
Filed under: uncultured bacterium
Lineage: Bacteria
Description: partial 16S ribosomal RNA
Rfam family: Bacterial small subunit ribosomal RNA
Source: RNAcentral
UACGUAGGGUCCGAGCGUUGUCCGGAAUUACUGGGCGUAAAGAGCUCGUAGGUGGUUUGUCGCGUUGUUCGUGAAAACUCACAGCCUCAACUGUGGGCGUGCGGGCGAUACGGGCAGACUUGAGUACUGCAGGGGAGACUGGAAUCCUGGUGUAGCGGUGGAAUGCGCAGAUAUCAGGAGGAACACCGGUGGCGAAGGCGGGCUCUGGGCAGUAACUGACGCUGAGGAGCGAAAGCGUGGGGGGAGCGAACAGG